This 470-nucleotide unclassified non-coding RNA is filed under the name Hevea brasiliensis (rubber tree). The record is from RNAcentral. Lineage: Eukaryota; Viridiplantae; Streptophyta; Magnoliopsida; Malpighiales; Euphorbiaceae.
GAGAGAGAGAGAGAGAGAGGGGAUCAAAGCCAGAGAGCUCCAGCUUCCUUGAGAAGAGGGACGAGGGUUCCAUUGAUAUGGGAAGCCAUAACUCUAUCCAUAGCACCAAUUAGCUUCCCACCAAUGAAAACAACAGGAACUGGACUUGAAUAAUUCCCAAGUAGCCUCAUCAAUGCUCUCUCAAUCUCCUUCCCUGUUGGAUCCUGGUCUAGCUCAUACACAGUAGGGUUCACACCCAUCCCACAGAAUAAACUUUUCACCGCAUGGCACAUGCAGCAGCUACUGAUACUAAAUAUCACCACCGCACUUUCAGAGGCCAGCCUCACCACUCUCUCCAAUGGGUCUGAACCUAUCAUACCUCUCACCGCCGGCACAUAGUAACCCCAUGACGACGACUCUGCAGCCUGCUGCUGGUGCUGGUACUGAUACUGGUACUGCAUAUUCAAGAAUUUUGUUUUCUUGCACUGAUA